RNAcentral lists this unclassified non-coding RNA (310 nucleotides) under plant metagenome. RNAcentral describes it as "partial contains 5.8S ribosomal RNA, internal transcribed spacer 2, and large subunit ribosomal RNA". The stretch from base 1 to 105 matches the Rfam family "5.8S ribosomal RNA", at positions 50 to 154 of the family's 154-position model. The record is from RNAcentral.
GAAAUGCGAUAAGUAGUGUGAAUUGCAGAAUUCAGUGAAUCAUCGAAUCUUUGAACGCACAUUGCGCCCCUUGGUAUUCCAUGGGGCAUGCCUGUUCGAGCGUCAUUUGUACCCUCAAGCUCUGCUUGGUGUUGGGUGUUUGUCCCCGUCUCCGCGCGUGGACUCGCCCCAAAGUGAUUGGCAGCCGGCGUACUGGUCCCGGAGCGCAGCACAUGUCGCGCAAACGAGUGCCUUGGUACGGCGGCGUCCAUAAGCCCCUCUCUCACGCUCUUGACCUCGGAUCAGGUAGGGAUAUCCGCUGAACUUAAGC